GCCGCCUUGGCUAAGUGGUAAAGCGUUGCACUUGUAAUGCAAAGACCAGUCGUUCGAUCCGGCUAGGCGGCA
Molecule: transfer RNA, 72 nt
Filed under: Jaapia argillacea MUCL 33604
Lineage: Eukaryota; Fungi; Basidiomycota; Agaricomycetes; Jaapiales; Jaapiaceae
Description: tRNA-Thr (TGT) (tRNA-Thr-TGT-1-1)
Rfam family: tRNA
About the family: Transfer RNA (tRNA) molecules are approximately 80 nucleotides in length. Their secondary structure includes four short double-helical elements and three loops (D, anti-codon, and T loops). Further hydrogen bonds mediate the characteristic L-shaped molecular structure. tRNAs have two regions of fundamental functional importance: the anti-codon, which is responsible for specific mRNA codon recognition, and the 3' end, to which the tRNAs corresponding amino acid is attached (by aminoacyl-tRNA synthetases). tRNAs cope with the degeneracy of the genetic code in two manners: having more than one tRNA (with a specific anti-codon) for a particular amino acid; and 'wobble' base-pairing, i.e. permitting non-standard base-pairing at the 3rd anti-codon position.
Source: RNAcentral